GUCUGAUCUCGGGCCUGGUCAUCUUCACGGUUCUUGGGUUCAUGGCCAACAGUGCUGGAGUUGGUGUUUCAGAAGUAGCAUCUUCGGGUCCAGGCCUUGCAUUCGUGGCGUACCCAGAAGGCCUGUCUCAACUUCCCCUGCCUCAACUCUGGUCCUUCCUGUUCUUCCUGAUGAUGCUGACAGUUGGAUUGGACAGUCAGUUUGCGUGGAUGGAGACGGUGAUAACCAACGUAAU
Molecule: long non-coding RNA, 235 nt
Organism: Haliotis rubra (blacklip abalone)
Lineage: Eukaryota; Metazoa; Mollusca; Gastropoda; Lepetellida; Haliotidae
Exons: 3
Source: RefSeq, a predicted model, not a curated record